GCCAUAUUUAAACUCAGGAAGAUACAUCUUUCUGACUCCAGGCCUGACUCCAGGCCUCUCAUGGAAGAGGAGAGAUGUGAAAGAUAGAUAAGUUUUGGAGGGGGGUGGUUUAAAGGGAGAUAGGGUGUUCCAAUAGAAAGAACAUUGCCUCUGGAGUCAGAGGGCCUGGGUUCAAAUAGGUCCUUUGAUCAUUACUACCUGUUCAGUGAUGGACAACAUCACUACCUCUCUGGGUCUCAGUUUUUCUCCAUUGUAAAAUGAGGAGGUUGGACUCUGGAAAGUGAGAGGAUUGAAUACUCCCUGAGAGCUUUUCCAGCUCUAGACUUUUGAUGUUAAGGGAAAGGGCAUUGAGAGCAGAUAGGCAAAUGGUUGGAGUUGGGUCUAAACAGGGUAUGUUUGGGAGAGAAUGAGAUAAUUAGCUUGCUUGGAAUAGAAGAUUAGGGUUGGAGAGUUGGAAGAUUAUGGAGGACCUUCAAAAGCAAGACAAGGAAGAGUUCUUUUUCCCAGGUAAUAACCAUUAGCUCCUACUUCAAAUUAAACCCUUGUCCUUAGUUUAUCAUUCUGUUUUGUCCUUUUUCAUUUAUCUCUCUGCCUUGAUGGCUUUACAUGCAGAGACAACUAAAUAUUUACAGAACUGAUUGGAAAUUCAUUAUCUCCUCCCUCACAGGAUAGGAACUUCCCCUUAGAAACCAAUGACAUAUGGAGGUCCCAGCUCUUCAUCCAGCUGCAAUUCCAAAUUUCUUCAGAAAUGCAAUCUAGAGCAAUUCUCAUUGGCCCACACUAUAUUACUUAAGAUGGGUAUUAAUUGAUAUUUCUUUCUCACUUUCAUGUUUUAUGUAUCGUCAAUGGAAACCUGCCUUGUGGAGCAGCCUGUGGAAAGUAUAUUUACAGAGCUUGGGUUCUGCAUCGAAAUGAAUCUACUCAUCACAAAACUACAAAUAUGUCUUAAAAAGUGCACUAAUAUGCAUAAUUAGCCCAUGAAAAGGCCUGUGCUAUUAUUUGAGUUCCUACAUAAUGUUAGUCAAGUCUUAAUUUAUGCUCUGUCCUUCCUGGAAUGAUUGAGCUGUUUGGUAGUUUUAUUUAUGAUACAGGCUUAGAUCCAUUUUGCAAUGGUGAUAUGGUUGUGAUAAUGGGAAUUUAUAGCAGACUCUGACAAGAGGCCAUAAAACAAAUGCCUGGAUGUUUUUCUGUGGCUACAGGCUUAAUUUGUAACAUAAAGUACUUAAUAAUUGUUAUUAAUGAACCCACUGUGGUUGGUAUAUAGACACAGCUGGAAAUCACAUCUGUUAUCACACAGCCCGGGUUGACUAAAGCACAAACACAGCAGGGGACUGAUAGCUAUGAAAGGAUAUGACAUCACAGAGCCACAGGAAGUGCUCUCAAAAGCCUGAUGCUCUCCCUAGAGUAGCAUACUAUGCAGGAGAUUUGGAGACACAUUUAAAAGAGAGCUGUCUUGGGGAAUUUGGUUAUUUUUUUCUAGUUCUUCCCUUCACUCAGAAGUGGAGGAAAGAUGUAGGUGCCAACUUCCGUAAUAUAGAUUCAAACUCAACAUCUCUUCAUUUCUUAUGACCCAAAGUCUUGGCAAAAAUGGUAAUAAAAAGAGUAAUAAAAGCAGCAAAUCCAAUUUCACAACUACAAGGCGUAAUACUUUUCCUAGGCAGACGUACAAAUUCUUGCUUCCCUACUGCUAAAAUCUUUAGAAUCAUGAGAUUGCUGGAUAAUCGCUACAGAAGAUAUAUUAGAAUAUAACCCUCUUGAAACACCCUGUGAAGUUACAAGGCACCUAAUUACUUACUUCUAAUUUUUUUUUUAGUGAAGAGGGAAAAAAAAAAAACUCUUUAAGGCACAGAAAAAAAACCCUGGAAUUUUGUUCCUGGGAGCCUAGUGGGAAUGGAGGGAGAAAAGAUGCAGGGAUUUAAAAAAAACAAAGAAAAGAAAAAGAGAUAUACUGAAGUUCUCUAAAUAGAAUCCUGAGCUAAGAAGCCCGUCUUUGUUUCCCAUAUCUCCAGCUCCCUCCCUUCUGAGGAUGAACAGGAUGCCUCCCAGAUGUUUAAUUCACAUCUGAUGCAGGUAAAAAGUGCCAGAUGGAAUCCUGGUCUCUUUUGUACUCUCUCUUCAGAGCAAAGCUGCCCAUUGAGACCCUAGUUGUGGAACAAAAUGGUAGAUGAAAAUCAGAAGUUUAAACCCCGUCCCCGCUUGCCUCCCCCAUGUCCUUGAUUCAUUAUAAAUUGCUCUCCUAGCUCCCAAUGCCAGCUUCAUUCUUUAGCCUUGGAAGGGACACACUGCCCCAUAGAUCUAGGACAAACAGAGCUCAGAGGACACUGAUUUGGGGAAAAUAAAAAUGGGGUGUCACAAGGAGCAAUCCCAGGGUAGGCUUCAGUUCCCUAACCCUCUAAGAGGGAGACCGUUAAUUUGGCUCACAUUGGAAUCUAGUAUCAGUGAAUUUCCACUUUGACUGAGAGACAGAAAAAAAAUUGUUUCUGGCCCCUACUUGGAUGGCAUUUAAACUCACAACAGUUAAGAGCACAGUUACCAUCUGAGGGCAGAGUUCAUUUGUGAAAAAGCAAACAGACACAUAGAACAAACCAGAAACCCUAAAAUGAUUUUCCUGUGUAUGGGAUCAUUUGCCAACAGGUAGCAGACUUUCAAAAGCUGUUUUUCCUCCACCCCUGCCAAUUCUAAAUAUUUAUCACUUGAUUUUUGAGUCAAUAUAUGUCUCCUGAAGUACUCCACAUUUAAAACCUCCUGCCCAUCAGCCAUACUUCAACAUGCGUUGAUAUAUUAUUGCCUACUAUAUCCAAAUCACUGUAUCAGGUGCUGGAGGUGACAAAAAGAUUACAUAAGAUAUGACCUCAGAUUCAUGAAGCUUAUAAUUUAGGUGCUGGGGAAGGGAGAGGCAUGUCAUGUACGCAUAAAAAUAAAUAUAGUUAAAAUAUGCGUGAUAAGUGCAUACGAGGGAUGUGAUAAUUCUCAUUAUAUAAUGCUUUAAGUUUUGCAAAAUACUUGACUGACAAGAACUCUAAAAAGCAAUUGCUACAGGAAAUCUGAGGUCAUUGACUGGAGGGAUCCAGAAAGACUUCAUGGAGAAAAUAACCUUUCAGUUGGACCCUGAAUGAUGGAUUGCAUUUCAGAAGGUGGAAACAGGAAUGGUGGUGGUGGUAAGGGCUUUCCAGACACAGAGAACACCAUGAGCAAAAGCUUGGAGCAUCAGAAAAUACCCUUCAUUUUUCUGCAAAUGACAUAAUUCACCAGCUUGUUCCUUUGCCUGAAUCAACGAGUUUGGGAGACAUGACCAAUUGACAGUCUGGUUGUUAGACAUUUACCGGCACACCCCUGUAUGGCUCUAUAAACAUUGUUUGAGCUCUGGAGGAGUCCAUUGGAAAGCUCAGGGAAUGAAGUCAUCACCAGACUGGAGUCUGCUGUAUGUGAGGUGGGCAUGUGCACGUGAAUGUCCACAAGCUCAUUUUGGUAGUCAUUGCACUAUAGAAUGGGAAUUCCCUCUCAUCUGAGGAUGGUCAGGUGCUCUGUUGUCUCCUGGAGUCUGGUCAUGGGUAUGGACUGAAAGGUCUCUGGGCUCUUGUGCCAACCUCUAGCUCCCAGAUUUCAGCCCUCCUUGAAGACAUGAGGUUCAGAAUGAUGGUUGUUCUCAGUUUCUGGGGCUUUCCAAAUAUCCAGAAGCCUUCUUGAGAGCACUUUCUUCUACUCCUACCUCUAGGGCCAGAGCACUGACAGCUCUACAUGUACCUAAUGGCCUCUGGUCAUGAUGGAAGGCUACCCUGUGCCACCACUAGCUUUGCUGGUGGGGCCCUUGCCUGACUUUUUAUGCUGUUUUGAGGUGGAAGAAGUCACUUGUUAUAAUUUCUCUUUGGAUUUCUUGAUCAGCAUUUGGUACUGGUACAAACUUUGGGGUUUUUCUGGAGUAUGUAUGAACAGGUAUUUAAGAUCUGGGUGGCCUGGCUUCUGUUCUGGUGGCUGUCUUGGCAGGGAGAUCCCACAAGCAUGCUGUCUUAGAGAUCAUGAUGGAGGAGAAUGCUUGGCACAGAGCGAUGUGCCUGCUUGAUUUGUAGAAUUCAGACACUGCGUGUCACAGUCCUGCAGACUGGGAUUUGAAUCCCAUCUCGAUCACCGCCUGUGUGACAUGGUCAAGUCAUGUGGCACCCUUCCCCUUCAUUUUCCACAUUUGUAAAAUGAGGGGAGUGAACUAGAUGAUUUUUGAGAUCCCAUUCAACUUUAGAUAUAUGAUCUUAUGAAAGUAUUUCAUGGCCUAAGAUUAUACAGGGGAAGUCAGAUCAAGAAAACUUGGAGGUAUAGGAGCAAGUAUGGUGGAUUUGAAGCCAAAUACACCAUUGGUUCAAAUAUUGGUUCAAAUCCUGACUUGGUUCAUGUCUUGGCUCUGCUCCUUAUUACCUGUGUGACCUCAGAUAAGUCAUUUAACUUUUCUGAGAAUGUUUUGUUCAUUUACAAAUCAGAGAGAUUGACCAGGUGGUAUCUAAGUCCCAUCCAACAAUCCCACGACUUUCUGAAAAGGAGAGUACUUUCAAGAAUGAAAUUCUGGUGUCAUAAACAUAAAAUAUUCUGAUGAAGAAGAAGAGGAGCUGAUUCAGGAGACCAAUGUGAAUGUAAAUGGGACCCACUGGGCAAUUCAGAUUUUUAAGAAUUCAAAAGAUGGAAGAAGAACCAGGUAAUAGAAUGAAUACCGAAGAAUGACAUGGGCCUGUAAAAAUGUCAAGAAUGCUAAAAUUCAGAAUAAGUGGAGAUUUAAAGUAGAUCUUGGAAUCAUGGAGUCUCAGAGUUGUAAGAGACUUAGUGAUAAUGCUAAGUUGAACCUUAGUCCAACUCAAGUCUGAAUAAGAGGGAGCCAAGUCCACCUUUGGACCGCUAAAUGAAUACUACAUCUAUGAAGACAGAGAGAGGAAAGAACUACUCAACCUUCAUUUUGCUUCUGUUUUCUCUACCAAGAAAUUUUAUCCUUUAACUGGAAAGCAUAGAACAAAAAGGAGCUGAAACUUAGAAUAGGUGAGAAGAGAACACUUAGCUGCCCUUGAUGAAGUCAAACCAUCAGACCCAAACAAAUUAUAUUUCAUUAUACUAACAUGCAUGUGUGUAUAUGCAUUCAUGUGUAUUUGUGUGUGUGUGUGUGUGUGUGUGUGUGUGUAUUUAUUAUUGCUGAGAUCCUGUCUUUUAAAAAUAAUGAAGGAUGGGAGAGAUAUAGUUCUGGGGAUGAGCAAAUAUGGCCUUGGAUUUUCAAAAUGGGAACAAUGUGAAUUUGUCAAAUAUAGAUUUGUGAGUUUGAUUUUGAUUUCUAGCAAAAUUUUAGAAUGUGUUAUUAAAGGGAUGAUCUGUGAAUACUUAGAAAGGGUGGUGAUGAUCAUUUCAAAUCAGUAUGAAUUAGUGAAGAAAAAAUCAUUUCAUAUUAACUUCAUUUCCAUUUUUGAUAAGGUUAUAAGGGGGACGAAUACUCUAGAUGUAGCAUGCUUGGAUUUCAUUAAAGGGUUUGACAAAGUCUCAUGAUAUCCUUGUGGAUUCAAUUAAAUCCAACACAGUU
Molecule: long non-coding RNA, 5545 nt
Organism: Trichosurus vulpecula (common brushtail)
Lineage: Eukaryota; Metazoa; Chordata; Mammalia; Diprotodontia; Phalangeridae
Exons: 5
Source: RefSeq, a predicted model, not a curated record